CAGACGGCUCAGUAACACGUAGUCAACCUAACCUGUAGACGUGGAUAAUCUAGGGAAACUGAGGAUAAACCACGAUAGAUAACGGUGCCUGGAAUGGCCCAUUGUCCAAACAGUUUACUGCCACGGGAUGGGACUGCGGCCUAUCAGCUUGUUGGUGAGGUAAUGGCCCACCAAGGCUAUAACAGGUACGGGCUCUGAGAGGAGAAGCCCGGAGAUGGGUACUGAGACACGGACCCAGGCCCUAUGGGGCGCAGCAGGCGAGAAACCUUAGCAAUGUGCGAAAGCACGACUGGGUCAGUCCGAGUGAUUUCUGAUAAAGGAAUCUUUUGCCCGUCCUAAAAGCACGGGCGAAUAAGGGGUGGGCAAGUCUGGUGUCAGCCGCCGCGGUAAUACCAGCACCUCGAGUGGUCAGGACGAUUAUUGGGCCUAAAGCAUCCGUAGCUGGUUUUGCAAGUCUCCGGUUAAAUCCACCUGCUUAACAGAUGGGCCGCUGGAGAUACUACAAGACUAGGGAGUGGGAGAGGCAGACGGUAUUCGGGGGGUAGGGGUAACAUUCGCUGAUCAUUUUAAGACACCAAUGUAUAAGGCGGGCUGCCUGA
RNAcentral lists this ribosomal RNA (599 nucleotides) under uncultured archaeon. RNAcentral's name for it is "bacterial SSU rRNA". It matches the Rfam family "Archaeal small subunit ribosomal RNA", at positions 82 to 684 of the family's 1478-position model. The record is from RNAcentral.